This 395-nucleotide long non-coding RNA is filed under the name Phoenix dactylifera (date palm). Its description in RNAcentral is "long non-coding RNA (PDAC_LNC004981)". The record is from RNAcentral. Lineage: Eukaryota; Viridiplantae; Streptophyta; Magnoliopsida; Arecales; Arecaceae.
UUGGGGUGGUUGAACCGCCGGCCGUGGUGGGCCUAGGGUUCGUAGAUGACAAGUGCAUUGAUUGCUGAGUGAACCGGUGGUCAGAAAGAGCCAUACGCUUUGAUGGUUCAGUGAUCCGGAGAUCAUCUUGAGCCGUGUUCAUUUAAUGACUGAGUGCAUCGGAGGCCUGAGGGGCUCUCAUGCAUUAAUGAUAGGGUGUGCCGAAUGCCUGCGGAGAUCUUGUGCCUUAAUGACUUCGGGAUGGUGGCAGAUUGAAGUGGAGUCAUGUAUUUAGUUGUCAGAUUCUUUAGAGGGUUAGGCGGAGAUUGGAUAUUUGGCUAAGGCCUUCUGGUCUCGGCCUUCUGUGCUCGGCCUUCUGUGCUCGGCCUGCUGUGCUCGGCUCGCUGGUCUCGGCC